CUCAGGACGAACGCUGGCGGCGUGCCUAAUACAUGCAAGUCGAACGGUCUUUCUAUGGAAGCUUGCUUCCACUGAGAAGAUAGUGGCGAACGGGUGAGUAACACGUGGGUAACCUGCCCAUAAGAGGGGGAUAACAUCCGGAAACGGGUGCUAAUACCGCAUAGUUUUCUUGAUCGCAUGAUUGGGAAAGGAAAGACGGCCUUUGUGCUGUCGCUUAUGGAUGGACCCGCGGCGUAUUAGUUAGUUGGUGAGGUAACGGCUCACCAAGACGAUGAUACGUAGCCGACCUGAGAGGGUGAUCGGCCACAUUGGGACUGAGACACGGCCCAAACUCCUACGGGAGGCAGCAGUAGGGAAUCUUCCGCAAUGGACGAAAGUCUGACGGAGCAACGCCGCGUGAGUGAAGAAAGGUUUUCGGAUCGUAAAACUCUGUUGUCAGAGAAGAACAAGUUGGAGAGUAACUGCUCCAGCCUUGACGGUAUCUGACCAGAAAGCCACGGCUAACUACGUGCCAGCCGCCGC
This 522-nucleotide ribosomal RNA is filed under the name uncultured bacterium. RNAcentral's name for it is "bacterial SSU rRNA". It matches the Rfam family "Bacterial small subunit ribosomal RNA", at positions 23 to 518 of the family's 1533-position model. The record is from RNAcentral.